UCAACAGAUAGAAUUACGCACAUUUCGAUCUGACUAUACGUGUCUUGUGAGGGCUGGCUUUAGCUAAUUUGGAACCACCUACAAAACAUGUACAUGUGGGCUCAUUACCUCCGGUUUACAACCUGGUGAUAUGGCUUCUGUCUGUAAUGCACUUAGUUCGAUCUGUAGCCAUUGGAUGGGCUGACGAGGACCUGAGCCCUAGGACCAUGCCCCAGGACUACCUGACAUGAUGACUCCCUGCUGUCCCCAGUCCACCUGGCCAUGCUGCUGCUCCAGUUUCAACUGACCUGAGCCCUAGGACCAUGCCCCAGGACUACCUGACAUGAUGACUCCUUGCUGUCCCCAGUCCACCUGGCCAUGCUGCUGCUCCAGUUUCAACUUCCACCUGACUGUGCUGCUGCUCCAGUUUCAACUGUUCUGCCUUAUUAUUAUUCGACCAUGCUGGUCAUUUAUGAACAUUUGAACAUCUUGGCCAUGUUCUGUUAUAAUCUCCACCCGGCACAGCCAGAAGAGGACUGGCCACCCCACAUAGACUGGUUCC
Long non-coding RNA from Oncorhynchus tshawytscha (Chinook salmon), 541 nucleotides. The record is from Ensembl. NCBI's taxonomy places the organism in Eukaryota, Metazoa, Chordata, Actinopteri, Salmoniformes, Salmonidae.